RNAcentral lists this RNase P RNA (332 nucleotides) under Neoehrlichia mikurensis. RNAcentral's name for it is "Candidatus Neoehrlichia mikurensis RNase P RNA component class A". It matches the Rfam family "Bacterial RNase P class A". Rfam says of the family: Ribonuclease P (RNase P) is a ubiquitous endoribonuclease, found in archaea, bacteria and eukarya as well as chloroplasts and mitochondria. The record is from RNAcentral. Lineage: Bacteria; Pseudomonadati; Pseudomonadota; Alphaproteobacteria; Rickettsiales; Anaplasmataceae.
UCAGGUAAAGAAGUAGUUGCUGUAUUAAAUUACAGAGGAAAGUCUGGACUCCAAGGGAAAAUGGUGACAGGUAACCCCUGUCGAAGGUAACUUUAGGUUAGGGCCACAGAAAAUAACCGCCUAUAUAAGGUAAGGGUGAAAAGGUGUGGUAAGAGCACACCGUACUUAUGGUAACAUAUAGUAGCUAGGUAACCACCACCAGGAGCAAGACUAAGAAGAGAUAUUGUGUUUUCCCUCACUAUUAUCCGGGUAAGUCGCAUGAGGUAAAUAGUAAUAUUUAUCCCAGAUGAAUAACUACAUAAACAAAAUCCAGCUUAUCUUUACCUGAUUUA